GGCAGCAGUAGGGAAUCUUCGGCAAUGGAGGGAACUCUGACCGAGCAAUGCCGCGUGAAUGAAGAAGUACUUCGGUAUGUAAAGUUCUUUUAUUGGGGAAGAACGGCUAGUGGAAAAGCUAGAGUGACGGUACCCAUUGAAUAAGCCCCGGCUAACUAUGUGCCAGCAGCCGCGGUAAUACAUAGGGGGCAAGCGUUAUCCGGAAUUAUUGGGCAUAAAGGGUGCGUAGGCGGCAAGUUAAGUUUAAGGUAUAAGCUCAUGGCUCAACCAUGGGAGGCUUUAGAAACUGGCUAGCCAGAGUGCAGUAGAGGCAAGUGGAAUUCCAUGUGUAGCGGUAAAAUGCGUAAAUAUAUGGAGGAACACCAGUAGCGAAGGCGGCUUGCUGGGCCGUAACUGACGCUAAGGCACGAAAGCGUGGGGAGCAAACAGGAUUAGAUACCCUGGUAGUCCACGCCGUAAACGAUGAGUACUAAGUGU
RNAcentral lists this ribosomal RNA (477 nucleotides) under uncultured Bacillota bacterium. Its description in RNAcentral is "bacterial SSU rRNA". It matches the Rfam family "Bacterial small subunit ribosomal RNA", at positions 347 to 823 of the family's 1533-position model. The record is from RNAcentral. Lineage: Bacteria; Bacillati; Bacillota.